AUGGCCUCCUCCACGAUGCCGCGCCGCGUCGCGCUGCUCCUGCUCCUCCUGGCAUCCACGCGCGCGGCGUCCGCGGCCGGCGCCGGCGCCUGCGCGGCCGAGAAGUUCCCGGCGGGGAAGACGUACGCCAAGUGCGAGGACCUCCCGCAGCUGGGCGCCGCGCUGCACUGGACCUACGACGAGGCCAAGUCGUCGCUCUCGCUGGCCUUCGUGGCGGCGCCGGCGGGGGCCAACGGGUGGGUGGCCUGGGCGCUGAACCCCACCGGCGAGGGCAUGGCCGGCGCGCAGGCGCUCGUGGCGCUCAAGGGCUCCGGCUCCGCCGCGCCCACCGUCAGGACCUACAACAUCACCGGCUACGUGCCGCUCGGCAAGGCCUCCACGCCCAUCGCGUUCCCGGCCACCGACCUCGCCGCCGACUCCGGCAGCGCCGGCAAGAUCCGGCUCUACGGCAAGCUGCAGCUGCACGGCGGGAUGAAGGCCGUGAACCACAUAUGGCAGGUCGGCACCUCCGUCACCGCCGGGGCCCCCGACAAGCACGCCUUCGCCGCCGGCAACCUCGCCUCCAAGUCCAAGCUCGUCCUCUCGGGCAAAGCGGCCUCCGCGACCUCGCCUUCGCCGGCGCCCGCCCCCAUGGCCGGCGGCCCGUCCGGAUCGGCCGGCAGCGACGGCGGCGCGGCGGCGACCACGGCGCCUUCCGCCGGCAAGUCCCCGUCGGGCGCGGCCGCGGCCGGCGUGUCGGCGCCGGCACUCCUCGUGCUCGCGUUGAUGGGCCUCCUCGCGGUAGUAUGA
Molecule: ribosomal RNA, 789 nt
Filed under: Triticum aestivum (bread wheat)
Lineage: Eukaryota; Viridiplantae; Streptophyta; Magnoliopsida; Poales; Poaceae
Description: partial small subunit ribosomal RNA
Source: RNAcentral